This 264-nucleotide long non-coding RNA is filed under the name Meriones unguiculatus (Mongolian gerbil). Its description in RNAcentral is "lncRNA (ENSMUGG00000001497.1)". The record is from RNAcentral. Lineage: Eukaryota; Metazoa; Chordata; Mammalia; Rodentia; Muridae.
AAAGGAUCUCAGUGACACUCAGAGGUAGAGCACAUGUUCUAGUGAGCAAGGGUGGAGGGAGGCCAUGUUCGGUUUGGUUCACAUUCAACAGCACGCUCUGCCUCUGAAGAGUCGAGUGCCUGGCUACUUCAGGUCCAGGGAUUAGAACUAUGUCCCCAUCUCCUCUCUGAGUCCAGCUCAUGCCAUGGCUGGGAUCUCUGACAACAGCAACACAGGAGAAAGAGUCCAGGCCGGUGUGUUCAAUUUUCUUCUUGAUGAGUGUAC